RNAcentral lists this transfer RNA (71 nucleotides) under Creobroter elongata. Its description in RNAcentral is "tRNA-Asn". The record is from RNAcentral. Lineage: Eukaryota; Metazoa; Arthropoda; Insecta; Mantodea; Hymenopodidae.
UUAAUUGAAACCAAAUUUAGAGGUAUAUCACUGUUAAUGAUAGAAUUGAACUAAACUCUGUUCCGAUUAAG